CAGUCGCCGCGGUAAUACGUAGGUGGCAAGCGUUGUCCGGAAUUAUUGGGCGUAAAGCGCGCGCAGGCGGUUUCUUAAGUCUGAUGUGAAAGCCCUCGGCUUAACCGGGGAGGGUCAUUGGAAACUGGGAGACUUAGAGUGCAGAAGAGGAGAGUGGAAUUCCAUGUGUAGCGGUGAAAUGCGUAGAUAUAUGGAGGAACACCAGUGGCGAAGGCGACUCUCUGGUCUGUAACUGACGCUGAGGCGCGAAAGCGUGGGGAGCAAACAGGAUUAGAGACCCCUGUAGUCCCUGUCUCUUAUA
This 301-nucleotide ribosomal RNA is filed under the name uncultured bacterium. RNAcentral's name for it is "partial 16S ribosomal RNA". It matches the Rfam family "Bacterial small subunit ribosomal RNA", at positions 509 to 808 of the family's 1533-position model. The record is from RNAcentral.